UACGUAGGGGGCUAGCGUUGUCCGGAUUUAUUGGGCGUAAAGAGCGUGUAGGCGGCCAGGUAGGUCUGGUGUGAAAACUCGAGGCUUAACCUCGAGAUGUCAUCGGAAACCAUUUGGCUAGAGUCCGUAAGAGGAGAGUGGAAUUCCUGGUGUAGCGGUGAAAUGCGCAGAUAUCAGGAAGAACACUAAUGGCGAAAGCAGCUCUCUGGGACGGUACUGACGCUGAGACGCGAAAGCGUGGGGAGCAAACAGG
This 253-nucleotide ribosomal RNA is filed under the name uncultured bacterium. Its description in RNAcentral is "partial 16S ribosomal RNA". It matches the Rfam family "Bacterial small subunit ribosomal RNA", at positions 524 to 776 of the family's 1533-position model. The record is from RNAcentral.